AGCUGGUUAGCUCAGUUGGUUAGAGCGUAGGGCUAAUAACGCCAAGCUCGCGGGCUCGAUUCCCGUAUGGGCUA
Non-coding RNA from Trichechus manatus latirostris (Florida manatee), 74 nucleotides. The record is from the annotation of a RefSeq genome assembly. Lineage: Eukaryota; Metazoa; Chordata; Mammalia; Sirenia; Trichechidae.